AGCGAACGCUGGCGGCAGGCCUAACACAUGCAAGUCGAACGAACUCUUCGGAGUUAGUGGCGGACGGGUGAGUAACACGUGGGAACGUGCCUUUUGGUUCGGAAUAACUCAGGGAAACUUGUGCUAAUACCGAAUGCGCCCUUCGGGGGAAAGAUUUAUCGCCAUUAGAGCGGCCCGCGUCUGAUUAGCUAGUUGGUGAGGUAACGGCUCACCAAGGCGACGAUCAGUAGCUGGUCUGAGAGGAUGACCAGCCACACUGGGACUGAGACACGGCCCAGACUCCUACGGGAGGCAGCAGUGGGGAAUCUUGCGCAAUGGGCGAAAGCCUGACGCAGCCAUGCCGCGUGAAUGGUGAAGGUCUUAGGAUUGUAAAAUUCUUUCACCGGGGACGAUAAUGACGGUACCCGGAGAAGAAGCCCCGGCUAACUUCGUG
Molecule: ribosomal RNA, 433 nt
Filed under: uncultured bacterium
Lineage: Bacteria
Description: partial 16S ribosomal RNA
Rfam family: Bacterial small subunit ribosomal RNA
Source: RNAcentral